CACAGCCCCCACAACGCCAUCCGGCGACCGGUUAGCUGUCUCGGACGUGGACUUGCAUUGAUUGUUGCACUCUCUUUCGCUCUCGUUCUCUCUUCUCCGUCGCCCACGCACUUUUAAUUGAAUUACAGUGGGAACUCUCUAGGUCUCAACAAGGUGUAUACAACUCCUACAUACAUAUGUACAUAGAUCGAAGGCCAGCUGUCAGUGGAAUUUUUCAGUGCCCAAUGAUUGGUCGAAUUAGUGGAGCUUUACUGUACCACCAUUCACCGAGAAGGCAACGGCAUUUUUCGAUUGUAUUCACGUGCCGGUUCAAAAAAGUGGCCGAGCCGAGCGCCCCGACCCCCGACAGACAGUCGGCCUCUUCCCGGUCGGCGUCGCUGUUGCUACGUGCCGUUUGUCUCGCAUCACCCAGCCCUAGCCCUGCCCCGCUGCCCUACAACUUGUGGUCGGUGGUGACAGUGGAUUCCAUUCCAGUGGAUUCUGGUUCGGGUCGUUCUGUUGUUCUUCUUUCUCUCUCCCACAUUCCGCGGCCUUGCGGCGAGGGCGCUUUUGUUUGUUUGUGUGUUAAAAGAGAAAAACAACUUAAUAAUAAUUAUAAAAAAGAGACAAAAGAUAUAUUGAUAGACAAGAGCGAUGUAGCGGGAAAAUUCUAUACAAAGCGAUACAAAUAAAGCAGACCAGACCAGACUGAACUGCAGCUGGAACUUUUAUCUCUUCUCACAUUGCGGAAGUGGGGUGUUACGAAAAUAUGACCCUCACCCCCGUCAGGCGGAAGUUUGCAGUACGCACAAACAUUUAAAUGGAAUUCAGAGGAAUUUCUUAACAAUUAAAAACUAUAUACUCCCUGCACUAAAGUUGAUCUGUUCAAAUACAUGCAAUUUCA
Molecule: long non-coding RNA, 883 nt
Organism: Drosophila pseudoobscura
Lineage: Eukaryota; Metazoa; Arthropoda; Insecta; Diptera; Drosophilidae
Exons: 2
Source: RefSeq, a predicted model, not a curated record